GAUGAACGCUGGCGGCGUGCCUAAUACAUGCAAGUCGAGCGAACGGACGAGGAGCUUGCUCCUCUGACGUUAGCGGCGGACGGGUGAGUAACACGUGGAUAACCUACCUAUAAGACUGGGAUAACUUCGGGAAACCGGAGCUAAUACCGGAUAAUAUAUUGAACCGCAGGGUUCAAUAGUGAAAGACGGUUUUGCUGUCCCUUAUAGAUGGAUCCGCGCCGCAUUAGCUAGUUGGUAAGGUAACGGCUUACCAAGGCAACGAUGCGUAGCCGACCUGAGAGGGUGAUCGGCCACACUGGAACUGAGACACGGUCCAGACUCCUACGGGAGGCAGCAGUAGGGAAUCUUCCGCAAUGGGCGAAAGCUUGACGGAGCAACGCCGCGUGAGUGAUGAAGGUCUUCGGAUCGUAAAACUCUGUUAUUAGGGAAGAACAAAUGUGUAAGUAACUAUGCACGUCUUGACGGUACCUAAUCAGAAAGCCACGGCUAACUACGUG
This 497-nucleotide ribosomal RNA is filed under the name uncultured bacterium. RNAcentral describes it as "partial 16S ribosomal RNA". It matches the Rfam family "Bacterial small subunit ribosomal RNA", at positions 28 to 507 of the family's 1533-position model. The record is from RNAcentral.